Molecule: long non-coding RNA, 687 nt
Organism: Equus caballus (horse)
Lineage: Eukaryota; Metazoa; Chordata; Mammalia; Perissodactyla; Equidae
Source: RefSeq, a predicted model, not a curated record
GUAGGAGGGAGCCACACACCCAGAGGAUCAGCCAGAACUUCUGAUCGAGGGCACCCAGCAAGUUAAUGGUGGGAAUCCCCUGAACAAAGUCCUGGAUCCCAGGAUUGCAAACAGGACUGAAGUUCAAGAUGGAGGUGGCUCCAGGUCUCCCUGGGUUUCCAGACCCAAGACAGGAAAUCAAGACUGCUUAGAGAUUGGCGAACCUAGGUCACCUGACUCCAUCUCCGGCGCUCUUUCUAUGGCCUUCACUCCUACCUGGCAUUUGGCAGAUAAGAUCUUGUUUCUGAUCACUUUAUGUGGUGAAGUUGCCUUUCUCCAGUUGCAGCAUCAGUUCCUUAAAGGCAAAAGAUUCCCCAGCGUGCCCGGUUAACAGCAUUAGGCCCUAAUAACCCAGUAAAUGUUAAUACUUCUUUUGACUGUCACGUCACUAGCUUAUCCACAUUUAUUCAUGGCCCCAAAUUAUUAACUUGUGAAAACUCUCCCCAAAUGUCCUAAUCAAAAGCAACUCUCAUUCCCUGAGAUUUUGUUUACAGUCAGAGAAAGGAGUAAAUUCUGUUGGGUGGGCCUGUGGAUUAUUUUGAAAUUUUGAAAAUUUGAAAAUCAGACUCUAGGAGGCAGAGUUAGAGGUGGGGAACCGAGAUGGGUUUGCCUCUGGAAUUACAACCAAAUCUGACUGGGUACUGACAA